This 468-nucleotide ribosomal RNA is filed under the name uncultured bacterium. RNAcentral's name for it is "partial 16S ribosomal RNA". It matches the Rfam family "Bacterial small subunit ribosomal RNA", at positions 28 to 507 of the family's 1533-position model. The record is from RNAcentral.
GACGAACGCUGGCGGCGUGCUUAACACAUGCAAGUCGAACGGAAAGGCCCUGCUUUUGUGGGGUGCUCGAGUGGCGAACGGGUGAGUAACACGUGAGUAACCUGCCCUUGACUUUGGGAUAACUUCAGGAAAAUGGGGCUAAUACCGGAUAGGAGCUCCUGCUGCACGGGGGGGGUUGGAAAGUUUCGGCGGUUGGGGAUGGACUCGCGGGUUAUCAGCUUGUUGGUGGGGUAGUGGAUUACAAAGGCUUUGACGGGUAGCCGGCCUGAGAGGGUGACCGGCCACCUUGGGCCUGAGAUACGGCCCAGACUCCUACGGGAGGCAGCAGUGGGGAAUAUUGCACAAUGGGCGGACGCCUGAUGCGGCAACGCCCCGUGCGGGAUGACGUCCUUCGGGUUGUAAACCGCUUUCGCCUGUGACGAAGCGUGAGUGACGGUAAUGGGUAAAGAAGCACCGGCUAACUACGUG